RNAcentral lists this ribosomal RNA (253 nucleotides) under uncultured bacterium. RNAcentral describes it as "partial 16S ribosomal RNA". It matches the Rfam family "Bacterial small subunit ribosomal RNA", at positions 524 to 776 of the family's 1533-position model. The record is from RNAcentral.
UACGUAGGUGGCGAGCGUUGUCCGGAUUUACUGGGCGUAAAGGGAGCGUAGGCGGACUUUUAAGUGAGAUGUGAAAUACUCGGGCUCAACUUGAGUGCUGCAUUUCAAACUGGAAGUCUAGAGUGCAGGAGAGGAGAAUGGAAUUCCUAGUGUAGCGGUGAAAUGCGUAGAGAUUAGGAAGAACACCAGUGGCGAAGGCGGUUCUCUGGACUGUAACUGACGCUGGGGCUCGAAAGCGUGGGGAGCAAACAGG